RNAcentral lists this non-coding RNA (77 nucleotides) under Nitratidesulfovibrio vulgaris. RNAcentral's name for it is "Desulfovibrio vulgaris c-di-GMP sequence". It matches the Rfam family "c-di-GMP-I-GGC riboswitch aptamer". The record is from RNAcentral. Lineage: Bacteria; Pseudomonadati; Thermodesulfobacteriota; Desulfovibrionia; Desulfovibrionales; Desulfovibrionaceae.
CAAGCGAAAGCCAAACCCGCUGCGAGGCGGGGACGGAAAGCCACGGAUCUCGCGUAGAGACAGCCGGGUUGCCUGCA